Molecule: ribosomal RNA, 406 nt
Filed under: uncultured bacterium
Lineage: Bacteria
Description: partial 16S ribosomal RNA
Rfam family: Bacterial small subunit ribosomal RNA
Source: RNAcentral
AGUGAACGCUGGCGGCGUGCCUAAUACAUGCAAGUCGAACGAGUGGCGCACGGGUGAGUAAUAUAUAUUAAUCUGCCCUACACAGAGGAACAACAGUUGGAAACGACUGCUAAUACCUCAUAGUGUAGGAUGAGACAAUAUCGUAUCAGCUAGUGGGUAAGGUAAUGGCUUACCAAGGCUAUGACGCGUAACUGGUCUGAGAGGAUGAUCAGUCACAUUGGAACUGAGACACGGUCCAAAUCCCGACGGGAGGCAGCAGGAAGAAAUAUUGCGAAAUGGGGGAAAGCCGGAUCCAGCCAUGCCGCGGGUGUGAAGAAGGUUUUCGGAUUUUAAAGCACUUUAAGUUGGGAGGCGUUACCAACAGAAUAAGCACCGGCUAACUUCGUGCCAGCAGCCGCGGUAAUAC